RNAcentral lists this ribosomal RNA (468 nucleotides) under uncultured bacterium. RNAcentral's name for it is "partial 16S ribosomal RNA". It matches the Rfam family "Bacterial small subunit ribosomal RNA", at positions 28 to 507 of the family's 1533-position model. The record is from RNAcentral.
GACGAACGCUGGCGGCGUGCUUAACACAUGCAAGUCGAACGGAAAGGCCCUGCUUUUGUGGGGGGCUCGAGUGGCGAACGGGUGAGUAACACGUGAGUAACCUGCCCUUGACUUUGGGAUAACUUCAGGAAACUGGGGCUAAUACCGGAUAGGAGCUCCUGCUGCAUGGUGGGGGUUGGAAAGUUUCGGCGGUUGGGGAUGGACUCGCGGCUUAUCAGCUUGUUGGUGGGGUAGUGGCUUACCAAGGCUUUGACGGGUAGCCGGCCUGAGAGGGUGACCGGCAACAUUGGGACUGAGAUACGGCCCAGACUCCUACGGGAGGCAGCAGUGGGGAAUAUUGCACAAUGGGCGGAAGCCUGAUGCAGCAACGCCGCGUGCGGGAUGACGGCCUUCGGGUUGUAAACCGCUUUCGCCUGUGACGAAGCGUGAGUGACGGUAAUGGGUAAAGAAGCACCGGCUAACUACGUG